GAAACAGCAAUAAUGGAAUACUGCUUGCUCAUUGGAUUACAUAAAUGUUCCCACCCUCUGCUGGAAGGCGAUUGGCUGAGAGCUGCUAGGGCGGGGAAUCUGAGUCAUAUAGUUUAGAUGCCAAUGAGGGCAGGAAUACUGGAUGCUGCAAGUAAGUUGAAGGAAGCCUGACACCAGACUUAGAUGUAGAGAUCAUGGAGGGGGUUUCUUCAGGUAAAGAACCCCUGGAGCCCUUUACAAUGGAAAGGAAGAUUCUGUGUGAAAGAUGAAAGAAGCUGGACUCUAGAAAUCCUAAACGUUGAUACCAGGACAGCACAGAAAAUUGACAAUGGUAAUAUAGGCAGGGCCAGGCCAAGCCAGCCAGCCCCCUCGCACCCCCUGCACACAUGUACAACCACAGGCACGCGCACGCACAAGAGCACAUUGCCGGCAAGAGAGGACAAGGGUCAUGACUAGGGGUAUUUUCUGGAUAACAUGGGAAGAUCUACGAGUGGGAUCUACUUGAGUGGAAACCAAAGUCUUUUGAAGAAUCCACCUGCAUACACAGGCAGUACAGUGUUGGCUUUGAAGUCAUUACAGUGUUGACUACAGGAGACCCUGGGCCCUCUGGUUUCCAGAAAAAGAGCAGCGGUGAUUACAGGUGUGGUUUCUGCUACAUGGAACUGGAGAAUAUCCCGGCUGGUGUCUAUAACAUUAUAACUACUACAUUUCUGCCUGCCCAGGAGGGACCCUUCUUUUUAGACUUCAACACCGCAUUAGCCAUUAAGGUGACCCAACUCCAGUGACCCGGGAAUUAAAAUCCGUUCUUCCAAGUGACAAAGAUUUGCAAGCAGAUUCCCAGUUCAAAGAGGCAUGAAAGAUCCUGCAUUUCCCUGAUGUGACAUUGUGCAUCUCCAGUACGGCUCACAGUCUUGUACAAUCAGAAUCUUCAAGGGAGUUGGGUACCACAGACAGCCCAAAUGUAACUUGUACUUGAAUCUUGUUUCAAAGGAUAGUGCUAUAAAACAUAUUUUUUCAA
Long non-coding RNA from Xenopus laevis (African clawed frog), 1018 nucleotides. RefSeq lists it as uncharacterized. Lineage: Eukaryota; Metazoa; Chordata; Amphibia; Anura; Pipidae. The transcript is spliced from 5 exons. The record is from RefSeq and is a predicted model, not a curated record.